GUCCCUGUAGCACAAUCGAUAGCGUAUUGGAUAUUUAAUCCAAAAGUCGUGGGUUCGAAUCCCACCUGGGAUG
Non-coding RNA from Trichonephila clavata, 73 nucleotides. The record is from the annotation of a GenBank genome assembly. NCBI's taxonomy places the organism in Eukaryota, Metazoa, Arthropoda, Arachnida, Araneae, Nephilidae.